GGGUGAGUAGCUCAGUUGGUCAGAGCGCAUCUCUUACACAGAUGAGGUCGCAGGUUCGAGCCCUGUCUUACCCACCA
RNAcentral lists this transfer RNA (77 nucleotides) under Anaerolineaceae bacterium. RNAcentral describes it as "tRNA-Val". It matches the Rfam family "tRNA". From Rfam's summary of the family: Transfer RNA (tRNA) molecules are approximately 80 nucleotides in length. The record is from RNAcentral. RNAcentral also lists the same sequence under 1 other name. Lineage: Bacteria; Bacillati; Chloroflexota; Anaerolineae; Anaerolineales; Anaerolineaceae.